CAGCUGGAGAGAUGAGGUGGUUGGCUCACACACAAUAGGCCCUGAAAGUGCCUCUAGUCCUUCUCCAGCUGUACCAAAUUAACUUGGCAUCCGUCUGUACAGUGGGACUCUGUGGCAUUACAGAGCAUCCUCAACCCGCUGUUAGUCUCAACUUGACCUGAGAGACCCCAUCAGUCCCAACUCUCUGCUUGUCUGUCCCCAGUGUGUUCAACUGAAAUCCUUCUGGAAAGGAAGGCUGUAUUCUUGUUGGAUCUUUAACAAAAGAAGCCAGAAAGUUUCCCAGAGUCUCUGAAUCUAUACUCCAAGUCAAGAGGGGAGAAAAAAAGUAUUAACCUAAUUUAGCUGUAUUUUAGGACACAAAUACUGGGACCCUAGAAGCCCAAAUUAUGCUUCUGGCUAUAGGUUUUCUGGAGAAAACAAAACAGCUCAACCUGGGCACGUGUGCAAGAAGGGCACAGGCUGUUCCCUAAGAAUCCUGUAGCUCUGGACCCUUCAAUGAGCAAGUCUGUCAGAAAAAACACAUGUGACCAUAUUCUGUGAGACGUAUACAUUUGUAGGAUGCUUUGGGCUCAGGAACUUUUCAAAGAGUUUCCUGUCUUGAAGGCAUUGGGAUGGUAGAAAGGGCAGGACCAAAGGUAUGGGGAGAGGGGACCAUUGAGUGCAGACCCUGCCUUUCUCCAGCCUCCAAAACAUCUCAUGUGGAAACACCAUUCCCUACUUCAAAGCCAGAGUUACGGAAAGUCACUCCACAGUCACUCACAAGGGACUCUAUUUCUAAAGCAUUAUAAGGCUUAUAUAUUAUGCAUUUUAUUUGAUUAACAUUGGUACUGGACACAGGCUCACAACUUCUGUAAAGGAAGCUGGAAUAUUUUAGCAGUAUACCAACUGGAAUUCUUUCCCACAGGCCCAGGAAGAUAUCUUAGUCCUCUGCCAAUGAGCAUCUCUGCAGGCCUAGAGGAAGCCAGCUCUAUUCUUAUUGGCCACAGUUUUAUUCCUUAGAGUGGUAUAGGACAAAGUCUUGCUGAAUGGCUAUGGUGGAAACAGGGACUUUCUUUCUUUUUCUAUAAAAAAUAAAAAGCCAAGGGGGGAAAAACACCAUUUUUUUUCCCUCUGUUGCUAUAUAACAAAUUACUCUUUUUUUUAAAUUUUCUCUUUUUUGGGUAACAUAGAUUGAACCCAG
RNAcentral lists this long non-coding RNA (1180 nucleotides) under Marmota monax (woodchuck). The record is from RNAcentral. Lineage: Eukaryota; Metazoa; Chordata; Mammalia; Rodentia; Sciuridae.